GGUUAAGUUAGAAAGGGCGCACGGUGGAUGCCUUGGCACUAGGAGCCGAUGAAGGACGGGACGAACACCGAUAUGCUUCGGGGAGCUGUAAGCAAGCUUUGAUCCGGAGAUUUCCGAAUGGGGAAACCCACCACUCGUAAUGGAGUGGUAUCCAUAUCUGAAUACAUAGGAUAUGAGAAGGCAGACCCGGGGAACUGAAACAUCUAAGUACCCGGAGGAAGAGAAAGCAAAUGCGAUUCCCUGAGUAGCGGCGAGCGAAACGGGACCAGCCCAAACCAAGAGGCUUGCCUCUUGGGGUUGUAGGACACUCUGUACGGAGUUACAAAGGAACGAGGUAGAUGAAGAGGUCUGGAAAGGCCCGCCAUAGGAGGUAACAGCCCUGUAGUCAAAACUUCGUUCUCUCCUGAGUGGAUCCUGAGUACGGCGGAACACGUGAAAUUCCGUCGGAAUCCGGGAGGACCAUCUCCCAAGGCUAAAUACUCCCUAGUGACCGAUAGUGAACCAGUACCGUGAGGGAAAGGUGAAAAGCACCCCGGAAGGGGAGUGAAAGAGAUCCUGAAACCGUGUGCCUACAAGUAGUCAGAGCCCGUUAACGGGUGAUGGCGUGCCUUUUGUAGAAUGAACCGGCGAGUUACGAUCCCGUGCAAGGUUAAGCAGAAGAUGCGGAGCCGCAGCGAAAGCGAGUCUGAAUAGGGCGAAUUGAGUACGUGGUCGUAGACCCGAAACCAGGUGAUCUACCCAUGUCCAGGGUGAAGUUCAGGUAACACUGAAUGGAGGCCCGAACCCACGCACGUUGAAAAGUGCGGGGAUGAGGUGUGGGUAGGGGUGAAAUGCCAAUCGAACCUGGAGAUAGCUGGUUCUCUCCGAAAUAGCUUUAGGGCUAGCCUCAAGGUAAGAGUCUCGGAGGUAGAGCACUGAUUGGACUAGGGGCCCCUACCGGGUUACCGAAUUCAGUCAAACUCCGAAUGCCGAUGACUUAUCCUUGGGAGUCAGACUGCGAGUGAUAAGAUCCGUAGUCGAAAGGGAAACAGCCCAGACCGCCAGCUAAGGUCCCAAAGUAUACGUUAAGUGGAAAAGGAUGUGGAGUUGCUUAGACAACCAGGAUGUUGGCUUAGAAGCAGCCACCAUUUAAAGAGUGCGUAAUAGCUCACUGGUCGAGUGACUCUGCGCCGAAAAUGUACCGGGGCUAAACGUAUCACCGAAGCUGCGGACUGUUCUUCGAACAGUGGUAGGAGAGCGUUCUAAGGGCUGUGAAGCAAGACCGGAAGGACUUGUGGAGCGCUUAGAAGUGAGAAUGCCGGUAUGAGUAGCGAAAGAGGGGUGAGAAUCCCCUCCACCGAAUGCCUAAGGUUUCCUGAGGAAGGCUCGUCCGCUCAGGGUUAGUCGGGACCUAAGCCGAGGCCGAAAGGCGUAGGCGAUGGAUAACAGGUUGAUAUUCCUGUACCACCUCCUCACCAUUUGAGCAAUGGGGGGACGCAGGAGGAUAGGGUAAGCGCGGUAUUGGAUAUCCGCGUCCAAGCAGUUAGGCUGGGAAAUAGGCAAAUCCGUUUCCCGUGAAGGCUGAGCUGUGAUGGCGAGCGAAUUAUAGUAGCGAAGUUCCUGAUUCCACACUGCCAAGAAAAGCCUCUAGCGAGGUGAGAGGUGCCCGUACCGCAAACCGACACAGGUAGGCGAGGAGAGAAUCCUAAGGUGAUCGAGAGAACUCUCGUUAAGGAACUCGGCAAAAUGACCCCGUAACUUCGGGAGAAGGGGUGCUCUGUUAGGGUGCAAGCCCGAGAGAGCCGCAGUGAAUAGGCCCAGGCGACUGUUUAGCAAAACACAGGUCUCUGCGAAGCCGUAAGGCGAAGUAUAGGGGCUGACGCCUGCCCGGUGCUGGAAGGUUAAGAGGAGCGCUUAGCGUAAGCGAAGGUGCGAAUUGAAGCCCCAGUAAACGGCGGCCGUAACUAUAACGGUCCUAAGGUAGCGAAAUUCCUUGUCGGGUAAGUUCCGACCCGCACGAAAGGCGCAACGAUCUGGGCACUGUCUCAACGAGAGACUCGGUGAAAUUAUAGUACCUGUGAAGAUGCAGGUUACCCGCGACAGGACGGAAAGACCCCGUGGAGCUUUACUGCAGCCUGAUAUUGAAUGUUGGUACAGCUUGUACAGGAUAGGUAGGAGCCUUGGAAACCGGAGCGCCAGCUUCGGUGGAGGCAUCGGUGGGAUACUACCCUGGCUGUAUUGACCUUCUAACCCGCCGCCCUUAUCGGGCGGGGAGACAGUGUCAGGUGGGCAGUUUGACUGGGGCGGUCGCCUCCUAAAAGGUAACGGAGGCGCCCAAAGGUUCCCUCAGAAUGGUUGGAAAUCAUUCGCAGAGUGUAAAGGCACAAGGGAGCUUGACUGCGAGACCUACAAGUCGAGCAGGGACGAAAGUCGGGCUUAGUGAUCCGGUGGUUCCGCAUGGAAGGGCCAUCGCUCAACGGAUAAAAGCUACCCCGGGGAUAACAGGCUUAUCUCCCCCAAGAGUCCACAUCGACGGGGAGGUUUGGCACCUCGAUGUCGGCUCAUCGCAUCCUGGGGCUGUAGUCGGUCCCAAGGGUUGGGCUGUUCGCCCAUUAAAGCGGUACGCGAGCUGGGUUCAGAACGUCGUGAGACAGUUCGGUCCCUAUCCGUCGCGGGCGCAGGAAAUUUGAGAGGAGCUGUCCUUAGUACGAGAGGACCGGGAUGGACGCACCGCUGGUGUACCAGUUGUUCUGCCAAGGGCAUCGCUGGGUAGCUAUGUGCGGACGGGAUAAGUGCUGAAAGCAUCUAAGCAUGAAGCCCCCUCAAGAUGAGAUUUCCCAUUCCGCAAGGAAGUAAGAUCCCUGAAAGAUGAUCAGGUUGAUAGGUCUGAGGUGGAAGUGUGGCGACACAUGGAGCUGACAGAUACUAAUCGAUCGAGGACUUAACCAA
This 2928-nucleotide ribosomal RNA is filed under the name Bacillus velezensis. RNAcentral describes it as "23S ribosomal RNA". It matches the Rfam family "Bacterial large subunit ribosomal RNA". The record is from RNAcentral. Lineage: Bacteria; Bacillati; Bacillota; Bacilli; Caryophanales; Bacillaceae.